Molecule: transfer RNA, 82 nt
Filed under: Candidatus Omnitrophota bacterium
Lineage: Bacteria; Pseudomonadati; Candidatus Omnitrophota
Description: Candidatus Omnitrophica bacterium tRNA-Leu
Rfam family: tRNA
About the family: Transfer RNA (tRNA) molecules are approximately 80 nucleotides in length. Their secondary structure includes four short double-helical elements and three loops (D, anti-codon, and T loops).
Source: RNAcentral
GCGGACGUGGCGGAAUUGGCAGACGCGCAAGAUUUAGGAUCUUGUCCUGAAAGGGGUGGGAGUUCAACUCUCCCCGUCCGCA